This 119-nucleotide ribosomal RNA is filed under the name Castor canadensis (American beaver). The record is from RNAcentral. Lineage: Eukaryota; Metazoa; Chordata; Mammalia; Rodentia; Castoridae.
UCUAUGGCCAUACCACCCUGAACGCACCCUAUCUCGCCUGAUCUUGGAAGCUAACAGGGCCAGGCCUGGUUAGUACUUGGAUGGGAACUCCUCUUGCUUCACUAAUGAAGCUUUGAGAA